RNAcentral lists this transfer RNA (75 nucleotides) under Candidatus Kerfeldbacteria bacterium CG08_land_8_20_14_0_20_42_7. RNAcentral's name for it is "tRNA-Gly". It matches the Rfam family "tRNA". Rfam says of the family: Transfer RNA (tRNA) molecules are approximately 80 nucleotides in length. Lineage: Bacteria; Candidatus Kerfeldiibacteriota. The record is from RNAcentral.
GCGGGUAUAGUAUAAUGGCUAUUAUGCUACCCUUCCAAGGUGGAAAUACGGGUUCGAUUCCCGUUACCCGCUCCA